Triticum aestivum (bread wheat) is the source of this 128-nucleotide non-coding RNA. NCBI's taxonomy places the organism in Eukaryota, Viridiplantae, Streptophyta, Magnoliopsida, Poales, Poaceae. The record is from Rfam.
UAUAUACUCCCUCCGUUCGAGAAAAAGCUUGUCCCUCAAAUGGAUGUAUCUAGCACCAAGUUAGUGCUAGAUACAUCCAUUUGAGGGACAAGCUUGGGACAAGCUUUUUCGGACGGAGGGAGUUUGAA